RNAcentral lists this microRNA (22 nucleotides) under Branchiostoma lanceolatum (amphioxus). Its description in RNAcentral is "Bla-Mir-12494-P1_5p (mature (guide))". The record is from RNAcentral. Lineage: Eukaryota; Metazoa; Chordata; Leptocardii; Amphioxiformes; Branchiostomatidae.
AUCCGUGGUAGUUAUGGCCAUG